CAUAAACGGGCCAGUCAGAUUCAGAUUCUCCUUUCAGAGAAUUAAAAGUGUUCUCACAGGUUUUCAACAAAUAAAACACAGAGCUCAUCGCCAGACCUACGCUGUAUGCUCAGUAAUGGACAGUUCUGGUGAUAAAGAGGAUGACAAUGAUGAUGUUUACAGGACGGCGAGGUCAUGUGGAAUGACUUCUAGUCCAAGAAGCAGAAGCAGCAUCUGGAGAACUGCACAGGCAAUAUAUCCAUCAGUGCCAAGAACUUGCAAUUCAACAGUGGAAUAAAUCACAAGAGCAAGCAAAUCACCAGGCUUAAAAUUAUUGAAAUAUUGCAAGAUGAAUGAAAAUUCAUCUACUUUUCAAAUGAAGCAUUCAAAAUGCGAAAGCAAGGCCAGUGUUUCCUUCUCCCUGUCAUAGGUUUUGCUUAUGCCCCUCUUGCAGCAAUGUUCACAAUCUCCUAAUUGAUCUCUUGCCUCUGAAAACUGGUGGUGUUUCACCAUUUCUAUAUUGCCAAACUUUUUAUCAUAGCAUCUUGCGCAGGAAGUGAACUGAAAUUAUUUUUUUGAACAAAUACAUUAAGUUACUUG
Molecule: long non-coding RNA, 579 nt
Organism: Dama dama (fallow deer)
Lineage: Eukaryota; Metazoa; Chordata; Mammalia; Artiodactyla; Cervidae
Exons: 3
Source: RefSeq, a predicted model, not a curated record